UAAUACUAUUAACUUACAAAAACCCUUUUGUUUCAAGAAAAGUUUUCAGUAUCAUAAUAAAAACUAAUAAAUUUAUAUAUAUAUCAAUAUAAUUAAUAUAUGCUUAUUAAUGCUGACAUAUCACUGUAUUUCGCUCUAUAAGGUUUCAAAAUUUUGAAGACUCUUUCAAAUAUCAAAUUCAGUGAUCGCAUUCCAUUUUGUAAAAAUAGCAUCAAUAAAAUCCACACCUCACAGCCUUAUUAGCAUAAUCGGAACCUUUCUGGUUUUUAUAUUCACGAAAGAAUGAAAAAACCCGAGAAAGUCAAAACUUCGUAUAUCUCGGGAUUUUAACGAGACCAGUCUCAUACUCGUGAAAAUCGAGAGAGGAGUUUAAAUGGAAAAAGUAAGUAAAAGUUUUUGUUUCUUAUAUUGGCAAGCUUUUAAAUUAUUUAAAGUUGCAGAAGAAUUGUUUAUUAAUGUGAAGUCGAAGUUUGGGGUGAUUAGCCUUAUCUCGUUAAAUUUUGUUCAGCAUGAAACAGUCUGAACAGCAAUCCUCGAUUUUGUCAACAAUCUAAAACGUGCUAAGGAGUAGUCAUUCGUCGAUUUACCUGCGGCUUCCAGAUGAUCUGAAGAUCGGGAAUAUAGAAAAUAUUGUCAAUUUGAUAUUGCUAAUGACCCAGUCAUGUCUGCUGAAGCCCAGAAGUUUCCAGACCAUGACAUUAAUGAAUAUUUCUUGAAUGGAAUGUAUGAGGAUUAGAAUGGAACCUUAUUCUGCCUUUUUACCAACUCACACCAUCUUUUCAAGAUUUAUGGAGCCAACCACAGAAGAAUUUGUUCUAUACACAUCAUUCAUAACAUUCUUAUUUAUGUUGCAUAACUUUAAAUGUUACUGGAUGAAUUGUGUUCACAUAAUGAAUACCAGCAAACUUUUUAUUGAGUGCACUUAAUUUGUAUUUUUCCUACCCAUCCAUCUAACAUAUGUUUUUAUAUAACAUAUUCAUAUACAUGUAACAUUUUUGGAAACAGCUAUUUUUUUUAAAUUGGAAUUUAGCCGUACUAUUUUAUACAAGUUUUUUUUAUAGGGACUUGGACACGAUUUUAGAUCAAAAUUUUGAUUUCAAUUUCUUUAUGCAUAAAAUGAUAUACUUGCACAUUUUGAAUAAUUGACCAUAAUUUGAAUGUUAGAAGUCAAGUUAUAAAAGAGAUACAGGGGUAAGAAUUUAUUGUUAUGUAAACAAAGCUCGAGUCUUAUGUUUGUUUAAAAAUAAUAUAAAGUAUGAAAAUAACACUUCUUUGAGAAAAUGAUUCAUAGAAAAGAAGGUAAACUGAUUCGAUGUGAUCAUAAAUAAUAUUAUUAAUAAAAAAAAGCAACAUUUGAAUGAAACUUACACCAAUAAAACACAUUCUUUUCAUUGUUUAAAUGGUAUGGAGUUUUAAUUACCUUUCAUAUGAAAAAUGACAUCUAAAUCUUAAAUUGCUGUACAUUAUAUCCUAUUCAUCUAAUGUAUCACUUUAUUUAUGUUGAACUUCGUGUCUAUUAGUAUAAUGAUUUUUUUAGAAUGAUAUAUGCAAUUUCAUUAAUUUAUUUUUCAUUUUAAGAAAAUUCAUUUUAAAAAAGAUCUCUAGACUUGCAACCUGUGUAUUUUUUUUUCAGUUUACAUAACACAGUGUAUUAAUUGAAUGUAGUUGUGUAGAUUUAUGUACAUGUACCUACAAGCAAUAUACAUUUAAUAUUCACCAGGUACAUGUACCGCCUACUAUAUUUGAUGAAUAAAUGUACUUCUUUCAUGCCUUUUUCAUGCCUUUUACUCAUUGUUAUAUGUAUUAAUUUAUUUAUAAUUAAAAUACUUUGAAAACUUU
Molecule: long non-coding RNA, 1839 nt
Organism: Magallana angulata
Lineage: Eukaryota; Metazoa; Mollusca; Bivalvia; Ostreida; Ostreidae
Exons: 3
Source: RefSeq, a predicted model, not a curated record